GCCCGAGUGGUGGAAUUGGUAGACGCAGCGGACUCAAAAUCCGCCGCCGCAAGGCGUGCCGGUUCGAUUCCGGCCUCGGGCACCA
Molecule: transfer RNA, 85 nt
Filed under: Diaphorobacter ruginosibacter
Lineage: Bacteria; Pseudomonadati; Pseudomonadota; Betaproteobacteria; Burkholderiales; Comamonadaceae
Also listed under: 5 other names
Description: tRNA-Leu
Rfam family: tRNA
About the family: Transfer RNA (tRNA) molecules are approximately 80 nucleotides in length.
Source: RNAcentral